RNAcentral lists this ribosomal RNA (467 nucleotides) under uncultured bacterium. RNAcentral's name for it is "partial 16S ribosomal RNA". It matches the Rfam family "Bacterial small subunit ribosomal RNA", at positions 28 to 507 of the family's 1533-position model. The record is from RNAcentral.
GACGAACGCUGGCGGCGGGCUUAACACAUGCAAGUCGAACGGAAAGGCACUGCUUUUGUGGGGUGCUCGAGUGCGGAACGGGUGAGUGAGACGUGUGUAACGGGCUCUUGACUUUGGGAGAGCUUAAGGAAACUAGGGCUAAGAUCGGAUAGGAUCUCAUGCAGCAGUGAGGGGGUGGGAAAGUUUCGGCGGGUGGGAAUGGACUCGCGGCUUAUCGGCUUGUUGGUGGGGGGGGGGCUUACCAAGGCUUUGAAGGGUAGCCGGCCUGGGAGGGUGACCGGCCACAUUGGGACUGAGAUCCGGCCCAGACUCCUACGGGGGGAAGCAGUGGGUACUAUUGCCCGAUGGGCCGAGGCCUUAUGCAGCAACUCCGCGUGCGGGAUGCCGGCCUUCGGGUUGUAAACCGCUUUCGCUUGUGACGCGGCGUGCGUGCCGGAACUGGGUAAAGAAGCACCGCCUACUUACUG